AUUGAACGCUGGCGGCAGGCCUAACACAUGCAAGUCGAGCGGAUGAAGGGAGCUUGCUCCUGGAUUCAGCGGCGGACGGGUGAGUAAUGCAUAGGAAUCUGCCUGGUAGUGGGGGAUAACGUCCGGAAACGGGCGCUAAUACCGCAUACGUCCUGAGGGUGAAAGUGGGGGAUCUUCGGACCUCACGCUAUCUGCUGUGCCUAGGUCGGAUUAGCUAGUUGGUUGGGUAAAGGCCUACCAAGGCGACGAUCCGUAACUGGUCUGAGAGGCUGAUCAGUCACACUGGAACUGAGACACGGUCCAGACUCCUACGGGAGGCAGCAGUGGGGAAUAUUGGACAAUGGGCGAAAGCCUGAUCCAGCCAUGCCGCGUGUGUGAAGAAGGUCUUCGGAUUGUAAAGCACUUUUAGUUGGGAGGAAGAGCAGUAAGUUAAUACCUUGCUGUUUUGACGUUACCAACAGAAUAAGCACCGGCUAACUUCGUG
RNAcentral lists this ribosomal RNA (484 nucleotides) under uncultured bacterium. Its description in RNAcentral is "partial 16S ribosomal RNA". It matches the Rfam family "Bacterial small subunit ribosomal RNA", at positions 30 to 507 of the family's 1533-position model. The record is from RNAcentral.